UACAGAGGUCCCAAGCGUUGUUCGGAUUCAUUGGGCGUAAAGAGCGUGUAGGCGGCCAGGUAGGUCUGGUGUGAAAACUCGAGGCUUAACCUCGAGAUGUCAUCGGAAACCAUCUGGCUAGAGUCCGGAAGAGGAGAGUGGAAUUCCUGGUGUAGCGGUGAAAUGCGCAGAUAUCAGGAAGAACACCAAUGGCGAAGGCAGCUCUCUGGGACGGUACUGACGCUGAGACGCGAAAGCGUGGGGAGCGAACAGG
Molecule: ribosomal RNA, 253 nt
Filed under: uncultured bacterium
Lineage: Bacteria
Description: partial 16S ribosomal RNA
Rfam family: Bacterial small subunit ribosomal RNA
Source: RNAcentral